RNAcentral lists this ribosomal RNA (253 nucleotides) under uncultured bacterium. Its description in RNAcentral is "partial 16S ribosomal RNA". It matches the Rfam family "Bacterial small subunit ribosomal RNA", at positions 524 to 776 of the family's 1533-position model. The record is from RNAcentral.
UACAGAGGUCUCAAGCGUUGUUCGGAUUCAUUGGGCGUAAAGGGUGCGUAGGUGGCGCUGUAAGUCGGGUGUGAAAUUUCGGAGCUUAACUCCGAAACUGCAUUCGAUACUGCGGUGCUUGAGGACUGGAGAGGAGACUGGAAUUCAUGGUGUAGCAGUGAAAUGUGUUGAUAUCAGGAGGAACACCCAUGGCGAAGGCAGCAAACUGGGCAUCAUCUGACGCUGAGGCGCGAAAGCGUGGGUAGCAAACAGG